AUCAAACUGAGAAAGCUCAUAACCAUGGUAUCAAGAAGCAAAAUGCAUGGGAGAAGACAUUAAGGCUUCUCAUUCUCUUUUAGUCAAAGCGGUAGGCGAGGAUCAAAAUGAUAGUUAGCCAACACUUUUCACCCUUAGGGAUCUCUCUUCCUUGUCAAGCUCCAUCUCCCAGCUUUUCAAAGACACCCUCCCACAAUGACAUGCUAGCAACAAAACACACAAACAGAU
RNAcentral lists this unclassified non-coding RNA (228 nucleotides) under Hevea brasiliensis (rubber tree). Lineage: Eukaryota; Viridiplantae; Streptophyta; Magnoliopsida; Malpighiales; Euphorbiaceae. The record is from RNAcentral.